This 465-nucleotide ribosomal RNA is filed under the name Vreelandella stevensii. RNAcentral's name for it is "partial 16S ribosomal RNA". It matches the Rfam family "Bacterial small subunit ribosomal RNA", at positions 338 to 795 of the family's 1533-position model. The record is from RNAcentral. Lineage: Bacteria; Pseudomonadati; Pseudomonadota; Gammaproteobacteria; Oceanospirillales; Halomonadaceae.
CCUACGGGUGGCAGCAGUGGGGAAUAUUGGACAAUGGGCGAAAGCCUGAUCCAGCCAUGCCGCGUGUGUGAAGAAGGCCUUCGGGUUGUAAAGCACUUUCAGUGGGGAAGAAAGCCUUGGGGCUAAUACCCUCGAGGAAGGACAUCACCCACAGAAGAAGCACCGGCUAACUCCGUGCCAGUAGCCGCGGUAAUACGGAGGGUGCGAGCGUUAAUCGGAAUUACUGGGCGUAAAGCGCGCGUAGGCGGUCUGAUAAGCCGGUUGUGAAAGCCCCGGGCGCAACCUGGGAACGGCAUCCGGAACUGUCAGGCUAGAGUGCAGGAGAGGAAGGUAGAAUUCCCGGUGUAGCGGUGAAAUGCGUAGAGAUCGGGAGGAAUACCAGUGGCGAAGGCGGCCUUCUGGACUGACACUGACGCUGAGGUGCGAAAGCGUGGGUAGCAAACAGGAUUAGAUACCCUAGUAGUC